AUUGAACGCUGGCGGCAGGCCUAACACAUGCAAGUCGAGCGGAUGAAGGGAGCUUGCUCCUGGAUUCAGCGGCGGACGGGUGAGUAAUGCCUAGGAAUCUGCCUGGUAGUGGGGGAUAACGUCCGGAAACGGGCGCUAAUACCGCAUACGUCCUGAGGGAGAAAGUGGGGGAUCUUCGGACCUCACGCUAUCAGAUGAGCCUAGGUCGGAUUCGCUAGUUGGUGGGGUAAAGGCCUACCAAGGCGACGAUCCGUAACUGGUCUGAGAGGAUGAUCAGUCACACUGGAACUGAGACACGGUCCAGACUCCUACGGGAGGCAGCAGUGGGGAAUAUUGGACGAUGGGCGAAAGCCUGAUCCAGCCAUGCCGCGUGUGUGAAGAAGGUCUUCGGAUUGUAAAGCACUUUAAGUUGGGAGGAAGGGCAGUAAGUUAAUACCUUGCUGUUUUGACGUUACCAACAGAAUAAGCACCGGCUAACUUCGUG
RNAcentral lists this ribosomal RNA (484 nucleotides) under uncultured bacterium. RNAcentral describes it as "partial 16S ribosomal RNA". It matches the Rfam family "Bacterial small subunit ribosomal RNA", at positions 30 to 507 of the family's 1533-position model. The record is from RNAcentral.